This 69-nucleotide transfer RNA is filed under the name Ictidomys tridecemlineatus (thirteen-lined ground squirrel). RNAcentral's name for it is "Spermophilus tridecemlineatus (thirteen-lined ground squirrel) tRNA". It matches the Rfam family "tRNA". From Rfam's summary of the family: Transfer RNA (tRNA) molecules are approximately 80 nucleotides in length. Their secondary structure includes four short double-helical elements and three loops (D, anti-codon, and T loops). The record is from Rfam by way of RNAcentral. Lineage: Eukaryota; Metazoa; Chordata; Mammalia; Rodentia; Sciuridae.
GGGGCUGUGGCUCAGUGGUAGAGCACUUGCCUUGCAUGUUUGAAGCACUGAGUUUGAUCCUCAGCACCA